This 266-nucleotide unclassified non-coding RNA is filed under the name Exophiala sp. RNAcentral describes it as "partial internal transcribed spacer region". The stretch from base 1 to 46 matches the Rfam family "Eukaryotic small subunit ribosomal RNA", at positions 1786 to 1831 of the family's 1831-position model. The record is from RNAcentral. Lineage: Eukaryota; Fungi; Ascomycota; Eurotiomycetes; Chaetothyriales; Herpotrichiellaceae.
AAGUCGUAACAAGGUUUCCGUAGGUGAACCUGUGGAAGGAUCAUUAACGAGUUAGGGUCUUCUCGGCCCGACCUCCCAACCCUUUGCUUACUUGACCAUUGUUGCUUCGGCGAGCCCGUCUUUACUGACCGCCGGGGGACCAUAAAACGUCCUCUGGUCCGUGCUCGUCGGUGGCCAACUUUUAUAAAUUCUUAACUAAACGUGUCAUUAUCUAAGUACUAUUGUUAAUUAAAGCAAAACUUUCAACAACGGAUCUCUUGGUUCUG